CCCCCGGUGGCGCAGUCGGUUGCGUGCCGGCUUGCAACACCGGAGCUCCGGGGUUCGAGUGCCAUGCCAGGGAC
This is a non-coding RNA of Dryococelus australis, 74 nucleotides long. The record is from the annotation of a GenBank genome assembly. NCBI's taxonomy places the organism in Eukaryota, Metazoa, Arthropoda, Insecta, Phasmatodea, Phasmatidae.